This 11301-nucleotide long non-coding RNA is filed under the name Panicum hallii. RNAcentral's name for it is "long non-coding RNA (PHAL_LNC000803)". The record is from RNAcentral. Lineage: Eukaryota; Viridiplantae; Streptophyta; Magnoliopsida; Poales; Poaceae.
CCAAAUGCAGGAUCAAACAAGGUACCUCGCGCGAAGGCGAGUCCAGAGAUACAAUCACCAACGUAUUUUACAUCACAGAUACUUAUAUUACAAGAGUUUGCAGAAGUAGCAAAAGUUCUAGACUGAUAGAAGUUAUUACAAACCAGUUUAAAAGUUCAAGUUCAUAGCAGCGGAAUUCAAAGUACGAUAAUUAUACACAUCGCCACUAUGGACAUCAUGCUAAGCCAUGGCAUGAUAUCACUCGUUAUGAUCAGUGUUGGCCAGGGACGGGUCCCACUCCACGGACCAACCAUUGGGAAGAGCAUAGGGCCAUGGUACAGGUGGGGCAGAGUCCUCAGGAGGAUUACCUGAACAAAAGUCACAAUGCAAGGCUGAGUAUUCUAAUACUCAGCAAGACUUACCCGUUUCAUGGUAUACUUAGCCAUGUAACUAGAAUAUGAAAGCUGGUAAUGGUUUCGGGUGAAAUUUUAGCUGAAAAGCAACAAAGAGUAGGUCCUUAAUUUCAGUUUUUAGCUUUCAAGUUCUAGGUAAUUAUCCAUUCUAAGUAAGCAACUAUAGCUACUCAAACAAGGUAGAACUUUCUGGACAAACAUCAUCUUUAAUCAUCAUCAAGUUGCUCUUAUUACUCUAUAUGGCAAAGGGAUCAAGCAGUCUCAAUCUCCGUGAGAAAUGGACGAUUCUGAAUCGAAUUUUUCAACCUUGCAAGGCAAACCUAACUCACACGCUUGGAACAUCCAAUGAUCAUUCCAAAGCAACCAUUUGCCUUUCAUUCCGACUCGUGGAUCAGUGCCACCACAAGUGACUGUAGGAUGAUACGCACAUCCAAUAUGCAGGACGUACGUCUGUAGUGCGACUACAUGACCGUACUCCUGUCCGCUAUGCGGAACGUACUCCCGCAUGUCGGUGCGUGAGAAAAACCAAAUUACGAGUGGUGGGGGGUAUGUCCACUCCUCGGGCCGAUCGGAUACUAGGCUUACCGCUUACCAUAUUUCGCGGCAUAUGGCUAGUACUUUCAAACGCUUAACCACCGGUAUCACACACUGCGACCUUAUCAAGUUUUCAUCAACACAGACGGGGUUUCUUAUCAAGGUCAUGAAUCAUGAUCACAACCCCAUUCGUCAUCCUUAUAGUGGUUGCAGCAAUGUAAACAUUGUAACUCCUAUAAAGCUUGCGAGUGACAGGCAAUCACUCGACUUCUACCGGUCCUAUUAGCUUAGCAACUAGUCGGACUCAGCUUCUAGUAUUCAAUACAUAGGUUCCUAGGAAUAUGCAACUAAGAUUUCAAAGUAAUUCCUGGAAACGUAAUGCACAAAUAGACAUAUAUAAAUAGAUGUAAUUGCAGUGUGGUAAAUAAAAUAGCGGUUUAUGUCCGGGGCUUGCCUUCUUGGGUGGGGCUGUGGUCAGCGAUGUUAAAAAUCGCCGAAUUUUGGUUUGGGACUUCAGUUAAUUCCUCGGUGAUGUUUUCUUGGCCUUCCAAAAUGCUCUGCUCGGGCUCCGGAAUCAACUCGUAGGUUCCGUCGGCGAGUAUAGUCGAAUCUACAUGAUAUGCAGUGAUUUGAAACAAUGGUCGUUGAUUUAAGAACUUCACUCCAUGAUAGAGUUGCAAUUCAACAAAGCUAAUUAACCUUUUCUAUGAACAGUCAUUUAUCGAGUAUUACUUUAUAUUAACUUCAUUAAAUGGCAUGUGGAGUUACUUUAAACAAUUAAGCUAAUUACAUUAAGUACUAUUGAAAAAGAUCCUAAUUUAUUUAUAUCAGAGGUUCUAUACUAGGUCUUGUGUUGAAAUUUGGUGAGCAUAUUAUACUACUUAAAAGUGACACUCUUAUUAAAUUUCAUAAAUUUUCAUAAAUCAGAACUAUUAUUCCUGAAUUAGCUUUGAGUCUAAGCUUUGUUUCCUAACUUAAGUUACUCUAUUCUACUGAUGUUCAAAAUUUUAUCAUGGAUUACUCAUGGUGAAAGAAGGUUAGGGUAAAAUUUUCAACCACUAAUACUAAUGGAUUCACUCUUGAAUAAAUCCUAAAGCUUUGAUCAACUUAAAACCAAGAUACUUGAAAACUAUAGCUAGGAAACACUUCUAAGUCUACAAAUUUUACAUGAAGCUAUACAUGGAAUACACAUCCUAAGUUUCAAUUUUCAGCAUCAGCACAAUUAUAGAUCUAAAGACCUAAUUAACAUAUCCAUUUCCUAGUAUUUAUUUUUACUUCAAAAUAUUCUCCUAAUCAGCUCAAGAUUAUAACACAAAAUUUGUAGAAUUCACUUCCAAGAUUCAAACAAAAUUGGUCUGAUAUUUUUCUGAAUUUUCUACAAAUUUCUACAAAUUUCUAAAGAUCACUGAUUUCAAAAAGAGGGGAGGGACUGGAAUCUUGCAGCCAGGCCCUCGGGAAGAUUUAAAGCAUCGUAAUUGGGUCCCUGCUCAUCGGGAUAGAGAAGCCGAGGGAUGCCGGUCAGAUUCUGGCGAUGGCGGCCGGCGGCGAGGGGAAACCGGCCAGGAAGGUUCAAGGAACUAGGGCGAACCUUUCUGGGGGUGAUGUGCAGGUUGGAGAUGACCGGAGUAGGUGAAACGAUGGCGACCCGAGACGGUGGCGGUGGAGCUCGGCGAUGGCAACGGCGUUCCGGUGGCCGGAGGGCAGGAGAGUGGUGGGGUAGUGGCUAGACAGCUUCCACGUGAUGAUGUGGUGCUGGUGGUGGACUUGUCGGGGGCUGACAGGCGGUGGGUCAAUGGGACGACGGCGUGGCCGAGCAGCGGCGGGAGCUCAAGCUCACCGGUGUAGUGGUCCGGUUGUUCUGGUGCAAGGGAGUGCAAUUGGGUGGGCUGGUGAGCUUCCGUGGGUCGCGGUGGUGCUCGAGGAGCACUGAGUCAGGGAUGGAAAGCGGAGGAGGAGGCUGUCAACAGCGAGGUGAUCGGCGGCAAAAGGUGGAUGCGGCGGUGAUCCAGUGGGGAAGAAGUCGAUCAAAGCGAGCGAUGGCCGUGCGAGUAGGUAUAUGUAGUGGAAGUGAGUUUCUGGGCAUGCUAUGGAACUUAGGAAUAGGCGCGGCGAGCACUAGCUGCUGCUGGCAGUCGGCGGCGCAUCGUGGCGGUCUAGCGGCGAUCGGGCAGAGGCGGGGUGGCGUGGCGCGCUCGGAAGAGAACCAGAGGGGAGGAGCUAGAGCGGUGGCCGGCCUAGAGACGACGUAGGGGAGCUACUGGAGUAGACAAUGGCGCCGGCAGAGCGGCAGCGGCGGUGAGCAGUGGUGGCCUGCGGCGGCAGAGAGAAGACAGCUCGGGCGGAUGGUAGGGCAUCGUGGCGUGCUCGGGGAGGGCCAGCAGAGAGGAGCUAAGGCGGCGGACGAGCUCUGGGAUGACGCGUGGAGCGGCGCUGGAGCAGUGGUCGGCCUCGGGCAACGCGGCAGCAGCAGUGGGCGACGGCGCUGUCGCACGGCAGAGGAGGCAGAGGAGGAAGAGGAACAGGGGGGAUUCUAGGGCUGAUUUGCAAAAUUAAAAGUUCCAGGGAGCUCUCUGUAAAUCAAAAUUUCCCACUAACCUAGAGCUCAAAUGAAGAAAUGGUCAACAUGAAAGUUGUAGAACUUUUUAAAUCCUACAACUCUGCUUUAGGGUUCAAGUUCAAAAACCUAAAGCACAAUGCUUUAUUUUACCAUUUUGCACUCAAAUCAAACUUUAAAUAAGUUUUGUCCUUCUCAAGGUAAAUUUCUUAUAACUUUGGACCUAAUUGCAAGCAUUAAUGACAUGUCAUGAUGACUUUCACCUUUUACAUUUUGACCCUUAGUAAUUUUUGGAUAUUACUUUUAUACCUCAACUAAAUUACAUAAAAGGACUUGUACUUUCAUAAAUUUACACAAAUACCCUUAUUUUCAUAACUUUGCUAACUUUUCACACAAUUUAAUCCACACCAAACAUUCUUCCUAUUGGCUUGUUCUAUUUAACACCUAGGGUGUCACAACCUUCCCCCCUAAAAGGAAUCUCGUCCCAAGAUUACAGAAAUGAUAUAAUAAGAGGGUAGAUACCUAAGAAUUCUUAAGGAAGUCUGGGAAGUUCUUCUGAAGGUAGUCUUCGGUUUCCCAGGUAGCUUCUUCUUUCAUGUGAUGAUUCCAUAAAAUCUUAUACAUCUUAAUCUUCCUUCUUCUAGUGACUCUCUCUUUGGUAUCAAGGAUCUGGAUGGGUUGUUCGAUAUAAGAUAGAUCAGGUUCGAUCUCAAUGGCUUGUGAUUCAAUGAUCUCAGUAGGUACUUUGAUGCAUUUCUUGAGUUGAGAGAUAUGGAAGACAUCAUGAAUAGCAGCCAAUUGAGAGGGAAGAUGAAUUCUGUAAGCCACUGGGCCACAGACUUCAAGGAUUUCGAAUGGUCUGACAUAUCGGGGUGCCAACUUCCCUUUUAUGCCGAAACGCUGAACACCUUUGGUAGGAGAUACUCGGAGAUAGACAAAAUCCCCUAUUUGAAAUUGUAAAGGUUUUCUUCUUUGAUCUGCAUAGCUCUUUUGUCUAGACUGGGCGGCUUUAAGAUUGGCUUGAAUAAUCUUGACCUUAUUUUCGGCUUCGGUAACUAAGUCUGGUCCGAAAAUUUGGCGUUCACCGGUCUCAGACCAAGUCAAAGGAGUUCGACAUCUUCGACCCAAAUGGAGCCAUUUGGAUACUGGACUGAUAGCUAUUGUUGUAAGAAAACUCAGCCAAGGCGAGACACUUAUCCUAGCUUGUACCAUAGUGAAUAAUACAAGCUCGGAGCAUGUCUUCAAGAAUUUGGUUGACUCGCUCAGUUUGUCCAUCAGUUUGUGGGUGAUAUGCAGAGCUUCGAAUUAGUUUGGUUCCAAGAGCAGACUGUAAUUGUUCCCAGAAGCAAGCAAUGAAUUGUGCCCCUCGAUCAAAAAUAAUGGUCUUAGGGACACCAUGCAAUCGAACAAUUUGAUCAAGAUAGACUUCGGCAUACUUCUUAGCAGUAUAAGUUGUAUGCAUGGGAAGAAAAUGAGCGAUUUUGGUAAGUCUAUCAAUGAUUACCCAGAUAGAGUCAUGUUUCUGAGAUGUGUUGGGAAGGCCAAUGAUAAAAUCCAUACUAAUGUCUUCCCACUUCCACGAUGGAAUAGACAGGGGUUCGAGUGUACCAGAUAUCUUUAGAUGAGUGGCCUUGACUCUCUGGCAUGUACCACAUCCGGACACAUAUUUAGCAAUUUCUCUUUUCAUCCUGGUCCACCAAAAGUUUUGUUGAAGGUCUUGGUAUAUUUUAGUACUACCAGGAUGAAUAGAAAACUUGGAUAGAUGUGCUUCAUCAAGGAUUUGUUUACAAAGUCGAUGAUCCUUAGGCACAACAAUACGAUGGUUGAACCAUAGAAUUCCUUGAUGAUCAAUGUGGAAACACCUAUAUUUCGCUUCUCCCUGUGAUAGUUUCUGUUUGAUAAUUUUGAUACCUUCAUCAUGCAUUUGCGACAUGAUGAUUUGAUCUUGAAGGGUAGGUUCAAUAGGUAUGAAAUUUAGACUACCUUGAGGAAUGAUUUCCAGAUUGAUUUUUCUCAUCUGACAGCAGAGAGUUUCACUGAAGACGUCGAUAGAUAAACAAUGGCAAUGUGCCUUGCGGCUUAGUGCAUCUGCAACCACAUUGGCCUUGCCAGGAUGGUAGUGUACCUCAAGGUCGUAGUCUUUGAUCAGUUCUAACCAACACCUUUGCCUCAUAUUUAGGUCAGCUUGGGUGAAGAUAUAUUUGAGGCUCUUAUGGUCAGUGUAAAUGUUACACUUAGCGCCCAUAAGAUGAUGUCUCCAAAUCUUGAGAGCAUGAAUAACAGCUGCCAACUCAAGAUCAUGGGUUGGAUAAUUUUAUUCAUGAUUCCGGAAUGCUCUGGAUGCAUAAGCAAUGACCCGGUUGUUUUGCAUAAGGACACAACCAAGUUCGGUUCCGGAAGCAUCGCAAUAGACAUCAAAAGGUUGGGUACUGUCUGGCUGAGCUAGUACUGGAGCAGUUGUUAGAAGUUUUCUUAGUGUGCGAAAUGCUUCUUCACACUUAUCAUCCCAAUGGAAUUUAACCUCCUUCUUAAGUAGCUCAGUCAUGGGUUUGGCUAUUUUGGAGAAGUCUGGAAUGAAUCGGCGAUAAUUUCUUGCCAAUCCAAGGAAACUACGGAUUUGAUGGACUGAAGUUGGAGGCUUCCAAUCCAUAACUUCCUGAACUUUGGUUGGAUCAACCGAUCUGCCUUCACUAGAGAUAGUAUGUCCCAAAAAUUUCACACUAUCAAGCCAGAAUUCACAUUUAGAGAAUUUGGCGUAAAGGCGAUGAUCAUGUAGUCAUUGAAGAACGACACGUAUAUGAUUGGCAUGAUCUUCAUCAGUUUUGGAGUAUAUCAGAAUAUCGUCGAUGAAAACCACGAUGAAUUUAUCGAGCUCCGGCAUAAAGACUGAAUUCAUAAGGUACAUGAAGUAUGUCGGUGCAUUAGUGAGUCCAAAAGACAUAACCAGAUAUUCAUAUAGUCCAUAUCUGAUCGAGAAAGCUGUUUUUGGAAUAUCACUGGGCUUAAUUUUGAUCUGAUGGUAACCAGAGCGUAGAUCAAUCUUAGAGAAGACUUUGGCUCCAGCUAAUUGGUCGAAUAAGAUAUCAAUGCGAGGAAGAGGGUACUUAUUUUUGAUAGUGACCGCAUUGAGUGGACGGUAGUCGACACAUAGCCUUAAGCUAUUAUCCUUUUUCUUUACAAAGAGAGCAGGGCAUCCCCAAGAUGAAGCACUUGGGCGUAUGAAACCCUUGUCAAGAAGAUCUUGAAGUUGUAUCUUUAGCUCAGCUAAUUCAUUGGGCGGCAUUCGAUAGGGUCUCUUGGAAAUAGGAGCUAUGCCAGGUUGGAGCUCAAUAAUGAACUCGAUAUCCCGAUCUGGUGGCAUUCCAGGCAAAUCAUCUGGAAAGACAUCUGGAUACUCACAGACUAUAGGUAUGUCUUCUAGUUGAAUGUCUGUGGUUGCAUAAACACAAGAGUGAAAAUACUCUUGUUGGGGUAGAUAGAGGGUAGUGGCUCCAUCAUAUGGUGAAUUAAUUUCAAUAACUCGGGAGGCGAUAUCUAACAACACCCUAUGUUUUGUCAUCCAAUCCAUCCCAAGUAUGAUAUCCAUACCCUCUAAAGGAAGUAAAACCAAAUUAGUUUUCAUCAUCAUACUACCCAUUUGUAUUGGCACAUAUCUAGUCAAUUGAUUGGACUCAAUCUUUCCUCUAGGGGUUGAGAUCAUGUAUGAUCCUUUGGCUUGAAAAGAAUUAAGUCCCACUCGGGAACCACAUUUGUUGCUAAUAAAGCUAUGGGUUGCACCGGAAUCAAAUAGGAUAAUAACGGGUUUAUAGUUGAUAGAAAAUGUACCUGUCAUUAUGGGGGCUCCUUCUGGAAGUUCUGCAAGGGUGGUGAAGUUGACUUGCCCUUGUCGGACUUGCAUUACACGCUUCUUUCCCUUGCCCUGAUUGUUCUGAUUAGAAUUCUGCCCCUGGAGAGGCUUCUUGGGUUGAGGACAAUCCCUGAUGAAGUGAUCCGCACUCCUGCAAUUGAAACAGCGAUAAGUGCUGCUUCUUUGUUGAAAUUGUUGAGCAUUUGGCCGUGGACCAAACUAUUGCGGCUGUUGCGAAGGCACGGGAGGUCCAUAACCUCCUUGCUAUUGGGGCGGCCAGAAAACAAAUCUGCCAGGUGGGGUAUUCCGCUGUGGUGCUCUGAUCUGUGCGUUGGGAACCACACGAUACCUUGGUGACUGAGCACUCGAGGGUCCUUCCGUUUCUUCUCGGCAUGAUGUGCCGUGAUGCAAUCCUCCUGGGUUAGUGCCAUAUUAACCAGCUAACUGAAAGUAUUAGCCUUGAUAAGAUUCAGGUGUUCCUUGAGCUUGUUUCUUGGCAUCAUUGUCCGCAUGAUAGCCUGCAUAUUGGCACAGAUGAUUAAAAGUCUGUGCAUACUGCAGUACCGUGCGAGUGCCUUGGGUGAGUGCCAAGAAUUCGUUCAACUUCCGCUCCAGUAGUCCUUCUGGAAUGUAAUGUGCCCUGAAGGCAGUCCGAAAUUCUUCCCAAGAGAUAACAUGUCCCACGGGCUGCAUGGCGCAAAAAUUAUCCCACCAUAUGCGGGCAGCACCACGAAGUUGCUGGGCAGCAAAGUGAGCUUUGCUUGAGUCCGCACAUGGUAUAGUAAGGAGAGCGAACUUCGAUUCAAUGAUAUGAAGCCAGGUAUCGGCAUCCAAAGGUUCUUCAGCUUUACUGAAAAAUGAAGGCUGGGUACUGAAGAAAUCCUGGUAGCUAGCCACUUGGGGAUUGAGGUCAUCACGACCUCCUCGUGAUUGUUGACGAUGUUGGUUCUGUUGUGCCUGAACUAGGAGAUUAAGAAGUUUUGUCUGCCGAGCCAUGACCUCGGCGAGAUUUAGAGGUGGUGGUGGCGGCUGUUGGGAACCGCUAGCCUGGUCUGGCCUGAAACCUUCAGGAGUUCCACGCGUAGCGCCAACCAUCUGAAAAACAUGGAAGUUGUCCAUUACAUCAGAAUAUCCUUACUUCCCUUUUCAGAAUAUACCGCACAGAGAGAAAAACAUAUGAAGAUAGCACAACAGAUUGACAGAUCGAUAGAUAGCUGAACAAAACUUAAGUUUAUAGAUCAUAACUGGUGGUCUGUAUAUUACAUCGUGGUGAUCUAUUGAUUACCAUACAUCCUACUCUUGCCACAUAUAGUACAACAAGUGGCCCUUAGGUCAAGCUAGAUUACACAUUCCUUAUGUCACACUACUCUAUACUACAUACAUCUAAGAUAUCGGUGACAAGGAUGAAUUGGAAGUCGUCGAGGUUGCCCACAGAGGACUGGCUGCCAGAUGAAGAAUGGCUGCUGGAUAAAGAAUGAUUGAACUGAGGAUUGGGUUCUGGUCACAGCAAAAACGGGAGAUCAGAUAAUAGAUUUGGCGGAUGAAAUAAGGAUACUGAGAUACUAAACUCUAUGGCUGCAUGACUAUUUCUAGACUGCACUUUGUGGAUAACCACACUCUAAGUAUCCCCAUCACAUUAUGAACAUGAGUUUUAAUUUGCAAUCAAUUUUAAGAUGCAUGCAUGCACUAACGUCCUCACAAACCCAAAUAGCUGCCAAAUAUUUUUGGACUUACGUGGUUAGUUACGGUGGCAUAAUACAGAUAUGUCUCUCCCUAUAAUAUCUAGUCGACACAUCCUAACCGUUCAGAACCUAUCGAAUCGUGGUUAGCGUUCCUGCAGAAAACCACAAUACAUAUAUUGUAACACCCCGAAGUGCUACUAAACUACACAAGCGACAACUAAAAGGAGAUGAAAAAUUGGCAGCAUCUCCUUUGAAACUAGAGCUAUCGCGGAAGCAAACACAAAUAGAUCAAUAUAAGGAACAAGCUAGCAUGGAUAGCACCCCUGAAUGAAAAUGAAUAGCUAAAAGAAUGGAACCGGCAGCGACCACAACUUUAAGUUGUUCUUAACCAAACUGAUUAUUACACUAACUAGUUGCUAUAAAUGGAUUUCUAAAAGAUGAAGUGUAGACGUGCUGCUACUCUCCCUUCCCACAAGAAUAAGCAUCAAACGCAUGAAAAGAGUGAAUAUACAAGGGGUGAGAUGAAACAUCUCCACAAGUGGACUGUUUCGACAAGCUAUUUAAAAAAAAAACAGGUUUACUUAGCAAUGAUUUGCAUUCAACAUAUAAAAUCAAGACGAUAAACUUCAAUUCAACUUCAAUAAUAUGGAUGCAUAUUGAAUGCCAUGCACUUCCUUCUGUCCGCAUACCCAACAAGGUAUGGAGCUGCAUCCGAAGAUGCUGUACCGGUACAAGUCGGACCAUAAGAUCACGACAUACUUCAAUGCAAAUGCAUAAUGCGAUGCUUAUGUAAUGCUGCAACAUUAAUAUACUUUCAACUUCAAAUAUGUGGAUUUCCACAUAAAACAUACUCAAUUAUAAGUCUUCAUGGUUCACUUCUCAAGAUAGAUGAAUUAUAAAUAUGAUUGAGAAUAUGUAUAGAAUUAUAUGAACUUCAAAUAUUAACUUUGGAUGAUAAAAAUAGCAAGGCAAAACGUAGCCAACCACAGCUACAAAUCCACUUGCCUUAACCGACGAAGCAAGCAAGAGGGACUCAAGUCCGAUCUGGAGCACUACCACCUGUUCGGAGAAUACAAUUCAUUACAAACACUUCAAAUAUCAAGCACAAGUAAACAGCGCAUCGUCCCUACGGUCCAUUCCGACAGCCGGCUAUUAAUCCCUAGGGAACCCCAAAACAGCAGCUGCAGUUGUCUUUUGGUAUCUUUAAUUUUGUAAUAGCUACAACAGUAACGAGGACUCUAUGAGCAUCUACAGUUCACAAGCUACAACUUUUGUAUUCAGACCGAAUCCAAAUUCCACCAUCUUCUAUGUCUAAUCCUCGCUACAAAGUUGCAGAGUCAAUCUGUUCAUGACAGCAACAUUGCUGUUUUGGAAAAAUCAUAACUCUCAGACCAAUUAUCCAAAUUGGGUGAUUAAGCUACCUGGGGAAAGAACAACUAUCCCACUACAUCACACUCCAUAGAAAUAGGGCUUGAUUCUGCCUGCAGCAUAUUUUAAAUUGCAUUGCAAAACUGAAAGUGGCACUGAAAUACGUCUGAAACUGUAAUUUGACAGGAUGAGACACCUGACUUCGGAAGCCUAUAACUCUUAAACCACUCAUCCAAACUGCGCAAAUAAACCAUCCUUGGAAAGAUAAUCUAACAUACUAGAAAACACUCUAUAGAAGCCAGGGCUGAUCCGGCCUCUAAGGCACUUCAUAACGACGCCGAAAAUCAAGCACUGCAACUGAAAAAUCAAAAACUGACAGAACCAUACACCAGACUUCAGGAGGCCAUAAUUCCCUCCAAUCUCAACGAAAAAUUGCAAAUGACUACUCUAUAGAAAGCUUGUAACAAGAUCUACAAUUUAUUCCAUUGACACACUUCACGAAUCUGCACGUACAAGGCCCCGGCAAUAGAUUAAUGCUACAGCAUGAAUUAGUACAACAGGCAGCGGCAACUUCAAUCCCUAAUCCAACGUAAUCCCGCCAGUAAACAACAUAACCAAAAUUAUACAGUGCCUAAAUGGAUGGAGGACCUCUAUCUCUCUCCUUCUCAUGGAUUCCUUGGUUACCCCAGCCCGAACUAAAUAGAUGGCAAGAGCAGUAGCAGCGACAGCUACAAGAUUCAUUCAAAAUCAAGGGAAAACCUUACCCGUACACGCUGGUCACCAGAGAAUUGGGGAUCUCCAACAGAUAGCGUUCAGAUCAGCAGGAGAAAAGUGAGAGGCAGCGUAGGGAAGGGAGGACUCCCUGGCGGCGUCCAAGAGGAAGCAAUCGGGAAGGGAAAAAGAUUGGGGAGGAGUCACGAUAGC